GGGGCUGAUUCUGGAUUCGACGGGAUUUGCGAAACCCAAGGUGCAUGCCGAGGGGCGGUUGGCCUCGUAAAAAGCCGCAAAAAAAUAGUCGCAAACGACGAAACCUACGCUUUAGCAGCUUAAUAACCUGCUUAGAGCCCUCUCUCCCUAGCCUCCGCUCUUAGGACGGGGAUCAAGAGAGGUCAAACCCAAAAGAGAUCGCGUGGAUGCCCUGCCUGGGGUUGAAGCGUUAAAACGAAUCAGGCUAGUCUGGUAGUGGCGUGUCCGUCCGCAGGUGCCAGGCGAAUGUAAAGACUGACUAAGCAUGUAGUACCGAGGAUGUAGGAAUUUCGGACGCGGGUUCAACUCCCGCCAGCUC
This 358-nucleotide transfer-messenger RNA is filed under the name Salmonella enterica subsp. enterica serovar Enteritidis. RNAcentral describes it as "partial transfer-messenger RNA". It matches the Rfam family "transfer-messenger RNA". Rfam says of the family: Bacterial tmRNA, also known as 10Sa RNA or SsrA, is named for its dual tRNA and mRNA-like properties. Its role is to liberate the mRNA from a stalled ribosome. Lineage: Bacteria; Pseudomonadati; Pseudomonadota; Gammaproteobacteria; Enterobacterales; Enterobacteriaceae. The record is from RNAcentral.